This is a long non-coding RNA of Octopus bimaculoides (California two-spot octopus), 225 nucleotides long. The record is from RefSeq and is a predicted model, not a curated record. NCBI's taxonomy places the organism in Eukaryota, Metazoa, Mollusca, Cephalopoda, Octopoda, Octopodidae.
CAAAACAACCAAUUUAAUAUGAAAAAGGAAAUAUUUGCUGAUAUAAUGCGGGAAAUUACGGAAAACACGCAUCAACGUCGUCGUGAAAUCGUCAUCUGCCAAGAGGUUCUCGUCGAUCAGGUUUGCAGCAGUCGAUCUUUUCAAAAAUUGUAUCGAAAGGUGUCAUCAUGAUAGGAGAAAGGAAACAAGAUUUAUAUAUUGCUUUGAAAGAAGAAAGUAAGGUUC